Ornithodoros turicata is the source of this 997-nucleotide long non-coding RNA. RefSeq lists it as uncharacterized. The transcript has 3 exons. Lineage: Eukaryota; Metazoa; Arthropoda; Arachnida; Ixodida; Argasidae. The record is from RefSeq and is a predicted model, not a curated record.
UGCAGCGUACAGAUACCGUGGAAAAACCCAAGUGCACGAGACACUCACACAACUGAUAUCCGGAGUUAAACGCUUCGAAGCCAUCGUGUGACAAUGAACCUAUUCGUUCUCGUGGCUCUUACUAUUUGCUUGGUUUCAGCGGAUCGUCCCAAUGCCUGCUACAUGGCUCCUGCUAAAGGCCCGUGCAAGGCAAAAAUCACGAGGUUCUACUUCAAUCCAAGAUCUCUGGAUUGCCUGAAAUUUAUCUACGGAGGAUGUGGGGGAAACGGCAAUAAUUUUGCCACAUAUCAAGCGUGCAUGAAAACGUGUAAAUAUUCUGCAGCUCCUUCUAGUAACAUCACCUGACCUUGAUCUUGUGUUUGGAGAACCUGAUACGCAUUCCGGUGACAGUCUCGUAAAUUUUUCAGCUACAGAUACAGGGUGUUUCACCUAAGGUGAUAAAAAAUGAUAACUGGCGACGUACUCGCCGGAGGAUUGUGGAACUUUGGGCAAUUGCCUUCUGGGAACUUUUUCCGCUAUUUAGGAAGGCUUUUGACACGUUUUUACUUGACGGAAAUUUAUUUGUUUCAAUCGGACUUUGAAAAUUCCCAAGUGAACCUCACUUUUUUACACAAAUAUGAAGUCCUCCACGGACAGCCAGAGACCCAACAAAAACUAUGCACAGCAUCGCAACAGAAAUCGACUAAAAAAUAAUAAAGUUUCGCUUUUGGCCACGCCUGCUUGAUUGUCGCAAAGAAGAGCGCACGGAAAAUGCUGGGAGAGGAGGAAGUGUUCCCGCCUCUUGUUUUUCCUUUCGUACCUAUGCGUUGACCUUGAUGCUGGUGAUAACCGUCUUAUCAAAAAGAAAUCUAAAUAACCGUCUUAUCACAAAGAUCACGCCCGAUUCUUUGCGAAAAUCAAGCAGGCGGCGCUAAAGCGUAAUUAUUACUAAUUUUUUUCGACUAUUCCUGUCGCGAUACCGUGCAUAGUUUUGGUUGAGUCUGCGCUUAUCCGUGGU